CAGCCGAGUAUUGCCGAGUGUAGCCGAG
Molecule: small RNA, 28 nt
Filed under: Bombyx mori (domestic silkworm)
Lineage: Eukaryota; Metazoa; Arthropoda; Insecta; Lepidoptera; Bombycidae
Description: ovarian small RNA-13216
Source: RNAcentral